Long non-coding RNA from Tetranychus urticae (two-spotted spider mite), 1372 nucleotides. RefSeq lists it as uncharacterized. The record is from RefSeq and is a predicted model, not a curated record. Lineage: Eukaryota; Metazoa; Arthropoda; Arachnida; Trombidiformes; Tetranychidae.
UCAAUCCUCCACUUAGGCUUGGCUGUAAUAAAAACAAUUUAGGUUGAAAAUUUUCAAUCCAUUAACCACACUUAAACUUUUGGCCAUUUCAUUUUUCAUCACAAUUUUUCACAUAAGAUUAUAUCACACACCAACCAAAGCAAAGAGUAAUAGCGCCAUCGCGUUCUGAUCCUUUUCCCUAUCCUUAUCUCUUGUUAAUUUUUUGCUAUUUUUUAUUAAUUUCAAAUUGUUUUAAUUAUUUUUUAAAUUCUUAUGUUUCAAUGUAACGGUAUUUGAAUACUCAGUGAGUCCGUUAGUCUCGUCAAUAGUCUGAUUUUUUUGUUUUUUGUGUACAAAAUUGAAAGUUUUAACAUUAAGAUGGAUUAACAGAUUUAUUAAUUAUGGAUUUUAUCAUCAACGCCAUCUUGUGAAAAAAGGGUUAAUUAAAAAUGCCAAAGGCUGACUUUGUCUUUCUUCAAAACACUAAAUUUUCCCACUGAAUUUUUAAAUUAACAGGAGCUCGAUGUUUUCAAAUUAUUAAUAUUUAACAGUUCAAGGAAUCAUCUCAGUAAUUUUUUAAGUUUAAUGUGACAUUAAUUCAAUAUCUAAUCAUCAACUGGAUAAUCAUUGUAUCCGAAUUUAUUUUUAAAUUGAUCUAAAGCUUAAGCUAUACAGGCUUAGCAUUAAUUUGUGAAGAGCCAAAGCUAUAACAACUUGGACCAAACUUUCAUUGCUGUUCAAAGGCCAUCAGUUUAAAUACAGUACAGUAAGUCUUGUAACUUUAUCUUAAUCUUUAAAUGGUGUAAUCUCCUUUAUCUGAGACAUGGACUGACUUGAACAGAAUGGAAGAUGAAUGGUUUGACCUUUCAAUCAAAUAAUUGUUAUCAUUUGGUGGUAAUGUAUCACUUUUGGUCAAUCGUUGGUCAUCUUUAAACCAUGUAAAAUGUAUUUCGGGAUCACCCUUGUUGAUGAAACAUAUAAUGUUCACUUUAGUUCCUUCCUCUACUAAUCUGGAAGCUGGUAAGAAGACUUCAUCAAUUGUUGGUGAAGCUUUAAAAUAGGAUGGAGAUAAAAAAUUGUCAUUAGAAGGUUAAAGAACGGACAUUUCAGAGAAUCGGGCUGAUCUUAAUUAACACGAUCGAGGAACCAAUCUGACGUUUUUGGACAAGUGAAGGAAAGAAAAGUUGCGAUUGAUAUCAUCAUUGGACAUUAUAUCUUUUUCCAAUUCUAAUCAUCAAUUGGUCAUUUCUCAGCGGAUUAACAUACAAUAAUGAAGAUAAUGACGAUAAGAAGGAAGGAAAAGAGGAACAAAGAUCAAAAAGUGUGAUCACUGAUCAUCUAACGUGACGAGAAUUGUAAAUCAAUGUUGAAAUUAAAGUUGAUUACGGAAUUA